GGUAUCUUCCUUUGAAAAACUCUUCAACUUGUUUGAUUCCAAGGCAACAAAGGAAAAGGAGGAUGGUGUUCUUGUUUCUAAGGAAAUAUAGCUGCUGAGCAAACUAAGUCAAGUGUCAAGGAAAAUGAGAGAGUUACUGGUGGUGAGGCAAAUGAGGGAGUUACUGGUGGUGUUUAUUGGGCAGCGGAAACACCUGUUGUGAAUGAUUCAAACAUAUAGCAUGACAAAGAACUCACUGAUAAAGUUUUGGCCAAGUUAAACAUGUCCCCAAUUGUGCUUCAUAGGCAACAUGCCAAAAAAGAAGACAUGACACAUGAAGAAUUGGCUCGGAAAAAGUUUCCAGCAAAAUGUGUUUCUUCUCCAUUUGUGGUAGAUUUUGGUUCUGAUAUAAGUGGCACAUCAAAGUCAGUGCCCAAGUACAUUUUUGGGGAGAAGUAUCCUUUUGUGAACAACAUUGAUGGGUUUGAUCCCUAUUCACCUAAAGGUAGAGCAUUUCUUUGAGUUUGUUGAUGAUGGGAUGAUUUCAACACAAAGGUAGCUUCAUUGUUUUAAGAUUUUUCUUUUCUAUUUACAAUGAUCCGUAUGUAAUGAUUAUUUUUCAUUUUCAUGAUUUUAAAGCCCCAAAGAGAUUUAUCCUGAGGAAAAAAAAAAUAUGUCUGUGCCUUUAAUUUUUGGAUCAAUUUAUGUGA
Long non-coding RNA from Lycium ferocissimum, 689 nucleotides. RefSeq lists it as uncharacterized. NCBI's taxonomy places the organism in Eukaryota, Viridiplantae, Streptophyta, Magnoliopsida, Solanales, Solanaceae. The transcript has 3 exons. The record is from RefSeq and is a predicted model, not a curated record.